This 272-nucleotide ribosomal RNA is filed under the name Firmicutes bacterium Jbg7. Its description in RNAcentral is "partial 16S ribosomal RNA". It matches the Rfam family "Bacterial small subunit ribosomal RNA", at positions 588 to 858 of the family's 1533-position model. The record is from RNAcentral. Lineage: Bacteria; Bacillati; Bacillota.
UCUGAUGUGAAAGCCCACGGCUCAACCGUGGAGGGUCAUUGGAAACUGGGGGACUUGAGUGCAGAAGAGGAAAGCGGAAUUCCACGUGUAGCGGUGAAAUGCGUAGAGAUGUGGAGGAACACCAGUGGCGAAGGCGGCUUUCUGGUCUGUAACUGACGCUGAGGCGCGAAAGCGUGGGGAGCAAACAGGAUUAGAUACCCUGGUAGUCCACGCCGUAAACGAUGAGUGCUAAGUGUUAGAGGGUUUCCGCCCUUUAGUGCUGCAGCUAACGC